This 2749-nucleotide long non-coding RNA is filed under the name Mus musculus (house mouse). RNAcentral's name for it is "long non-coding RNA chr9:53378401-53381150". Lineage: Eukaryota; Metazoa; Chordata; Mammalia; Rodentia; Muridae. The record is from RNAcentral.
UAUUGGGUCAGCAUUAUUGCUGCUCUCUUCGUAACUGAUUUUCCCCAUCUCUCCAGACCUGUGCAUUUCCCAUAUCCUUAUUUAUAGCCCAGUCUUGAGUUUUGUAAACUCUUCUCACAUAAUUUCUUUAUUUAUAGCCCAGGCUCUGUAGUUUGAGGAAUUUUUACAUGACGUCAGGUAUAUACAUAUAUAAAAUAGAUAUACGAAUCAAACAUUCACUGAUAACUCAAAUUUAUUUUAAAACAGUUUUUUGGCUUAUACAAAUUUACCAUUUGUUUAAGGUAAAAACAAACAGACACCCAUGAGGUAGUUAUAUCUGUUUGUCUGACACAGUGCAGUCUGAGGAUGUACUAAUGUUACCCACUUGCUGGGAAAUAAAGUGGACAUUUUAAAGUCUUUGUUGUCUGUAAUUGCAUUUCUAUAUGAGCAGAAAUCUUUGCAUGCUUGCACAGUAAAACAAAAAACAACAACAACAACAACAAAAAACAGUGCAGUUUGUAACAGAAUGUCAGAUCUCUCCCCUUUCCCUCCUCUUCCUCCCUUCCUGAAUUUUUUUCCCCUUCUUCCUCCUCCCAGUAAAAGAUGCAUGCUGUGUGUUUUGAGUCAAGGCUGCAGUGAGGUCAUACCUUGCACUGUGGGUAAGCACUGCCAGGAUUCAUUUAUGUGUUUAAUUUUGAGUUCAUUUUUGUUUGGUACACAUUCAGACACCUUUUAUUGUUACUUUUCUUUUUUUUUUUUUUUUCAACCCUACACUCAAUUCUGUGAAGACCCGAGAUUUAAGAUGCUUUGUACUAAGAUACUUUUGGUGAGGCAUUCAGUGGGAACCUUGGAUGAGUCCUUAAAAUUCGAGGUCAGAUGUGAUGUCUGGGAACCACUUGGCUUCUCUGCAGAACCUUCUGUCAAACCCUCAGGCACAUUUAACUCCAAGCUCCUAAAGUAUUGUGAAUCACUUGUGAUACCCAUUGCUAAUUUGGCUUCCUACCUCCUUAGUUGCCACAUGAGAGUAUCUGGGGGGCUUUCUCACCUUGUAAUUCAAGGCAAAAGUCCACGGAUGAGGGUGGUCUAGACCUGCAGGCAGCAUGGAAUCCUGGAUCUCAACACAGGACUGGAAUUUGUCUUGUUUUAUAGGUGUUUCUGACAUACUUUUAUUUCCCACUGUUCAUCCAAAGAAGCCAAAGCUAAGGGCAGGUACUAGCAAAACAUAUAGAGACCUGGGGCGGGCAUAAAUACAAGGAAGAUCAAUACAUUAUUAUUGCCCUCAUAAUUGUUGUCUGGCCCAGGCUAGUUUUCAUCAGUCCCAUAAAACUCGAAACUAGUGAAGGUGAGAUCCCUAACAGGAAAACCUCUCCUUAAAACUGUCCACUCAAUUUCUGGCCAAAGCUCAAAAAGAUGCCGAAUAGAAUUUAAAACCAGCUCUUCUGAAUGGAUCCAAACUUGGAUAGUAAAGAGUAAAAAUCAAUUUCUUGCUUAAUGGUGUGUGUUUGUACAUACGCCUUUCCUCUUUUGCUAUUUGAUUAUCUAAGUAAAACUCUCAUAUAGUAUGACUUUUCGUGUGUAAUUUUAUUAUAUUCAGAAAUAUUUUAACAUUAAGAUCAUUGCUGUUAUUUUUUUCAGUGAUCACCAUGAGAUACUAUUUCAAUAAAUAUUUUGAAUCUACCAGAGUCUAGAAAAGGUUACAGGACAUCAGCUUGCUUUUCAACAGGGAGAGGCUCUGAGUGAGGGAAGUCAGAGUAAGAAAGGACAUAUACGUUGGGGGCUCAGGCUCUCUGUGCUGGGAUCUUCCAUCCAUAUCGAAGGCUUCCCUUCAGUCAUUGCUUGUCUGCACUAUGUGUAAGGACUACCUGCUUGUCAGACUGAGGGAUUGGGAAAACAGUAAUUUCACAAAAAUAAAAUAGCAUCUCUAUUGUUUUAUAGUCUUAUGAAGCACUUCGUUGAAGAAGUAUAGAGAACUUCAAGAAUUUCUUUGUGUUGUAUGUAAUAUAUAAACUGCUGUUUUUUGAUGCACAUUUUGGGCAUAGCUGUGGUAACUUCAAUGAUAGUCAUUUUAUAUUAUUCUUUUUCUAAAAUAUAUAAUCAUUAUUAAACUUUCUUGUAAAUGGAGUAAAACACUAACUAAUCAACACUAAUAAGUGCCUAGAAAAUUAUUAGCUUGCUUAAAUAUUAGGAUAACACAACUAUAUAACUUUGUUUAAAAUUGAGUUUAAUGAGAUUAUUUUACUCUGUAGAUACUAACUUCUAAAUAGUUUACUCUUACAUCAUGAAUACAAUGAUCUUAACAAAACUCUAGUUGCUACUAACAUGAAUUUGGUUAAGGAUAAGCUCAAAAGAGAAAAUAUUUUGUACAGGAAAUAAAGAUGAGUCAUGAGGGUGCUAAAAGAAGCCUUCUGAGGUUGUGGAAAAGAUGAGAUUAAAAUGGAAAUUCAUAUCUCUGUAAAAACAAGUUCCCGUAUUGAAUGCUGUUAUGUUCAAACAGGCCUCGUUGCUUGGAGUUCACUGUAUAGUAGCUGUAGAAUAUCUAUCUAGAUGUACAGUAUAAAUAUGUAAAUAUUUUACUUUGUAAGUUUGUAAAGGCUCCUUAAAGGCUCUUUGUGACUGAUAAUUCUAUCCUGAAACAGUAAGCCACAAUAAGCACUUGGUCAAAACUGUCAAGUACUCCUUUUAUGUUUUCCCUCAGAUCUGUUCCCAAAGUAUGGAAUAUGGAAUAGACUGUGAAAUUUUAAAAUAACACUUUUGUGGAAAUAAAGAACUU